CUUCAUUCUGUUAAUCCUCUUCUACUCCCUGCCGCCGCAGCCUCGCCAGUUAACGUCCUUUCCAUACCGUAUACGCUGGGUUAAGCCGUUUGAAACUUGCAAUCAUGGGUUGAAUCGUGUAUUCACCGAUGUCAUCGAUCAACAUGUAGUGCGGUAACACGCUGAUCAUCAAAUUCCUCGAAGUUUUCUCUUCGGAAAUAUACUAAUGCAAGAAAUGAGAUCCUGUAAGAUUUUGGUGAUUGCUCAGUCAAGAUGCUAAGAAGUGUGUAUUGUAACUACUGCUGUGUGAGCAUACAAGUUGUUCUCUAAAGGCUUCCUGUGAUGUCUAGGCUGGAAAAGGUAAUUUCUUCUUUUAAACUCCUCAUGGUUUUUCCUUUUCAUUUGAUCCUGCUUGGUUUAUUACCUUUUAUUUGGCUGAAAUACAUGAAGGUACAGAUUUCAGGUUUGAAACCAAUAAUGACACGGUUUUUAAAAUCACACUAUCUUGCUUUUUCACAUAAUGAACCUCAAAUCGCAUCCGAUGACUCUCAGUAGUGGACCUUUUAACCAAUGUCAUACUUAUCUGAUUUUUUCAUUGAAACAAAAAAUAAGCCUCAGUUCUAUUUACAUAUUGUAUCAUCAUGUUUUGAGGUUUCCUGUUACUUUGGAAAAUUUCUUGGGCAGUGACAAAAUUUUACAUGUUUGAAUUAACAGUAGAUUGCCCAAACCCUUUUCAGACUGUUAGUGACACCAAUUAAGGACGUUCGUGCAAAAAUUUUCCAACAUUGAUAGUUUUCUGACACUUUUACCACUGUAAGAUGCUGAG
This is a long non-coding RNA of Orbicella faveolata, 805 nucleotides long. Lineage: Eukaryota; Metazoa; Cnidaria; Anthozoa; Scleractinia; Merulinidae. The record is from RefSeq and is a predicted model, not a curated record.